GCGCGAAAACUUUACAAUGCUGGCAACAGCGAUAAGGGAACCUCGAGUGCCAGGUUACAAAUCUGGCUGUCGAGAUGCCUAAAAAGCAUUUCAUAGCAAGGGCCGGGCAAGACCGGUGCCAGCCGCCGCGGUAACACCGGCGGCUCGAGUGGUAACCGUUAUUAUUGGGUCUAAAGGGUCUGUAGCCGGCCGGAUAAGUCUCUUGAGAAAUCUGGCAGCUUAACUGUCAGGCUUUCAGGAGAUACUGUCUGGCUCGAGGCCGGGAGAGGUGAGAGGUACUUCAGGGGUAGGGGUGAAAUCUUGUAAUCCUUGAAGGACCACCAGUGGCGAAGGCGGCUCACCAGAACGGACCUGACGGCAAGGGACGAGAGCUAGGGGCACGAACCG
This 387-nucleotide ribosomal RNA is filed under the name uncultured bacterium. Its description in RNAcentral is "bacterial SSU rRNA". It matches the Rfam family "Archaeal small subunit ribosomal RNA", at positions 339 to 726 of the family's 1478-position model. The record is from RNAcentral.